This 837-nucleotide ribosomal RNA is filed under the name Staphylococcus pseudintermedius. RNAcentral describes it as "partial 23S ribosomal RNA". It matches the Rfam family "Bacterial large subunit ribosomal RNA", at positions 352 to 1191 of the family's 2925-position model. Lineage: Bacteria; Bacillati; Bacillota; Bacilli; Caryophanales; Staphylococcaceae. The record is from RNAcentral.
UAAUCAGAGAAGGUAAUAAUCCUGUAGUCGAAAACGAAUUCUCUCUUGAGUGGAUCCUGAGUACGACGGAGCACGUGAAAUUCCGUCGGAAUCUGGGAGGACCAUCUCCUAAGGCUAAAUACUCUCUAGUGACCGAUAGUGAACCAGUACCGUGAGGGAAAGGUGAAAAGUACCCCGGAAGGGGAGUGAAAGAGAACUUGAAACCGUGUGCUUACAAGUAGUCAGAGCCCGUUAAUGGGUGAUGGCGUGCCUUUUGUAGAAUGAACCGGCGAGUUACGAUCUGAUGCAAGGUUAAGCAGAAAAUGUGGAGCCGUAGCGAAAGCGAGUCUGAAUAGGGCGAAUGAGUAUUUGGUCGUAGACCCGAAACCAGGUGAUCUACCCUUGGUCAGGUUGAAGUUCAGGUAACACUGAAUGGAGGACCGAACCGACUUACGUUGAAAAGUGAGCGGAUGAACUGAGGGUAGCGGAGAAAUUCCAAUCGAACUUGGAGAUAGCUGGUUCUCUCCGAAAUAGCUUUAGGGCUAGCCUCAAGUGAUGAUUAUUGGAGGUAGAGCACUGUUUGGACGAGGGGCCCCUCUCGGGUUACCGAAUUCAGACAAACUCCGAAUGCCAAAUAAUUUAACUUGGGAGUCAGAAUGUGGGUGAUAAGGUCCAUAUUCGAAAGGGAAACAGCCCAGACCACCAGCUAAGGUCCCAAAAUAUAUGUUAAGUGGAAAAGGAUGUGGCGUUGCCCAGACAACUAGGAUGUUGGCUUAGAAGCAGCCAUCAUUUAAAGAGUGCGUAAUAGCUCACUAGUCGAGUGACACUGCGCCGAAAAUGUACCGGGGCUAAACAUAU